AUUGAACGCUGGCGGAAUGCUUUACACAUGCAAGUCGAACGGCAGCACGGACUUCGGUCUGGUACACGAGUGGCGAACGGGUGAGUAACACGUGGGUGAUCUGCCCUGCACUUCGGGAUAAGCCUGGGAAACUGGGUCUAAUACCGGAUAGGACUCCUGGCUUCAUGGUUGGGGGUGGAAAGCUUUUGCGGUGUGGGAUGGGCCCGCGGCCUAUCAGCUUGUUGGUGGGGUAAUGGCCUACCAAGGCGACGACGGGUAGCCGGCCUGAGAGGGUGACCGGUCACACUGGGACUGAGAUACGGCCCAGACUCCUACGGGAGGCAGCAGUGGGGAAUAUUGCACAAUGGGCGCAAGCCUGAUGCAGCGACGCCGCGUGAGGGAUGACGGCCUUCGGGUUGUAAACCUCUUUCAGCUAUGACGAAGCGCAAGUGACGGUAGUAGCAGAAGAAGGACCGGCCAACUACGUGCCAGCAGCCGCGGUAA
This 483-nucleotide ribosomal RNA is filed under the name uncultured bacterium. RNAcentral describes it as "partial 16S ribosomal RNA". It matches the Rfam family "Bacterial small subunit ribosomal RNA", at positions 28 to 523 of the family's 1533-position model. The record is from RNAcentral.